UACAGAGGGUGCAAGCGUUAAUCGGAAUUACUGGGCGUAAAGCGUGCGUAGGUGGUUGACUAAGUCAGGUGUGAAAGCCCCGGGCUUAACCUGGGAAUUGCAUUUGAUACUGGUCAGCUAGAGUUUGGUAGAGGGAAGUGGAAUUCCAGGUGUAGCGGCGAAAUGCGUAGAUAUCUGGAGGAACACCGGUGGCGAAGGCGGCGUCCUGGACCGACAUUGACGCUGAAAGGCGAAAGCUAGGGGAGCAAACGGG
RNAcentral lists this ribosomal RNA (253 nucleotides) under uncultured bacterium. RNAcentral describes it as "partial 16S ribosomal RNA". It matches the Rfam family "Bacterial small subunit ribosomal RNA", at positions 524 to 776 of the family's 1533-position model. The record is from RNAcentral.